UCCCUGGAGAACUAGUGGUUAGGCCAUGGCGCUCUCACUGCCGCGGCUGGGGUUCGAUUCCCGGCUGGGGAA
RNAcentral lists this transfer RNA (72 nucleotides) under Pangasianodon hypophthalmus (striped catfish). RNAcentral's name for it is "tRNA-Glu". The record is from RNAcentral. Lineage: Eukaryota; Metazoa; Chordata; Actinopteri; Siluriformes; Pangasiidae.